CGAGGUGUAGCGCAGUUGGUAGCGCGCUUGGUUUGGGACCAAGAUGCCGCGGGUUCGAAUCCUGUCACCUCGACCA
RNAcentral lists this transfer RNA (76 nucleotides) under Anaerotruncus colihominis. RNAcentral's name for it is "tRNA-Pro". It matches the Rfam family "tRNA". Rfam says of the family: Transfer RNA (tRNA) molecules are approximately 80 nucleotides in length. Their secondary structure includes four short double-helical elements and three loops (D, anti-codon, and T loops). Further hydrogen bonds mediate the characteristic L-shaped molecular structure. tRNAs have two regions of fundamental functional importance: the anti-codon, which is responsible for specific mRNA codon recognition, and the 3' end, to which the tRNAs corresponding amino acid is attached (by aminoacyl-tRNA synthetases). tRNAs cope with the degeneracy of the genetic code in two manners: having more than one tRNA (with a specific anti-codon) for a particular amino acid; and 'wobble' base-pairing, i.e. permitting non-standard base-pairing at the 3rd anti-codon position. RNAcentral also lists the same sequence under 2 other names. Lineage: Bacteria; Bacillati; Bacillota; Clostridia; Eubacteriales; Oscillospiraceae. The record is from RNAcentral.